Non-coding RNA from Gossypium hirsutum (cotton), 107 nucleotides. Lineage: Eukaryota; Viridiplantae; Streptophyta; Magnoliopsida; Malvales; Malvaceae. The record is from Rfam.
AACCCAUGGUGAGGUCAUCUUCGCAAAAGGUCCUUAUAUCUCUCUCAUACAUCGUAGAUUGUUUCUAAAUCCAUCUGCACAAAAGAAGAGAUCAUAUUACAUAAUUU